This 513-nucleotide ribosomal RNA is filed under the name uncultured bacterium. RNAcentral's name for it is "partial 16S ribosomal RNA". It matches the Rfam family "Bacterial small subunit ribosomal RNA", at positions 355 to 859 of the family's 1533-position model. The record is from RNAcentral.
UGGGGAAUAUUGCACAAUGGGCGCAAGCCUGAUGCAGCCAUGCCGCGUGUGUGAAGAAGGCCUUCGGGUUGUAAAGCACUUUCAGCGAGGAGGAAGGUGGUGAACUUAAUACGUUCAUCAAUUGACGUUACUCGCAGAAGAAGCACCGGCUAACUCCGUGCCAGCAGCCGCGGUAAUACGGAGGGUGCAAGCGUUAAUCGGAAUUACUGGGCGUAAAGCGCACGCAGGCGGUUUGUUAAGUCAGAUGUGAAAUCCCCGGGCUCAACCUGGGAACUGCAUUUGAAACUGGCAAGCUAGAGUCUCGUAGAGGGGGGUAGAAUUCCAGGUGUAGCGGUGAAAUGCGUAGAGAUCUGGAGGAAUACCGGUGGCGAAGGCGGCCCCCUGGACGAAGACUGACGCUCAGGUGCGAAAGCGUGGGGCAGCAAACAGGAUUAGAUACCCUGGUAGUCCACGCUGUAAACGAUGUCGAUUUGGAGGUUGUGCCCUUGAGGCGUGGCUUCCGGAGCUAACGCG